Molecule: small RNA, 1276 nt
Filed under: Pan troglodytes (chimpanzee)
Lineage: Eukaryota; Metazoa; Chordata; Mammalia; Primates; Hominidae
Description: processed transcript
Source: RNAcentral
UCCAUGUCAGCCGGCCUCUCCUUGCGGGCCUGCUUGGGUGCUUUGGUCCUUUUGUGGGAACUGUAGUUUCCCAUGGCAGGGCUGGUCACUACUGGGGACGAUGGCCCACACUCCGUCUGCUCUGCCCCCUGGCCCUGGCAACAUUGUGACCUCACGGGCUGACCUCACCAAUUGCAGGCUCUGAGCACCGCCUUCCAGGGCCCACAGGAGUAUGAGAGGGCCUCCAAAGUGGACCAGUUUGUGACACGCUUCCUGCUGCGGGAGACGGUGAGCCAGCUGCAAGCCCUGCAGAGCUCGCUGGAGGGGGCGUCAGAUACCCUGGAGGCCCAGGCCCAUGGCUGGCGGUCAGACGCAGAGAGCGUGGAGGCGCAGAGCAGGCUCUGCGGCAGCCGGCAGGCAGGACGCCGAGCCCUGAGGAGUGUCAGCCGGUCAUCCACCUGGUCCCCCGGCUCUUCUGACACAGGGCGCAGCUCAGAGGCCGAGAUGCAGUGGCGGCUCCAGGUGAACCGCCUCCAGGAGCUCAUCGACCAGCUCGAGUGCAAGGUGAGGGCCGUGGGGCCAGGGCCCCACAAGGGAGGACCCUCCUGGUAUCUGCCAGAGCCAGGCCCAUGCUGGAGGCCCGGCCCACACUCUGUGCCCUCACAGGCCCCCCGGCUGGAACCCCUGCGUGAAGAGGACCUGGCCAAGGGGCCUGACUUGCACAUCCUCGUGGCCCAGAGGCAGGUCCAGGUGGCAGAGGAAGGCCUGCAGGACUUCCACCGAGCCCUGCGCUGCUACGUGGACUUCACAGGGGCCCAGAGCCAUUGUCUGCAUGUGUCCGCCCAGAAGAUGCCGGAUGGUGCCUCCUUCACCCUGUAUGAGUUCUGGCAGGAUGAGCCCUCCUGGAGAAGGCACCAGCAGUCGCCUGGCAGCAAGGCCUUCCAGCGCGUCCUCAUCGACCACCUGCGGGCCCCGGACACCCUCACCACUGUGUUCUUCCCAGCCUCCUGGUGGAUAAUGAAUAACAACUGAGCCAGACCUGCACACGCCGAGGGCCCCGGGACCCUGCCUGCCUCCCUCUGGAGCCUUCUGGACUGGCCAGCCCAGCGCAAAGACCAGGGCUUGUCUCCUCCUGGACUUGGGCCUGGUGGAAGGGCUCUCAGCCCAGGGAUCAGGGACUGGGCUGCUUGCUUUCUAUUUAUUAUUGAUUUAUUUAUCCCUGUAUUUUAUUGUUUGUCACUUCAGCCUCCAAGCUACUUUGGCUUCUGCCUGGCUCAGGAGACCUGGAUUCUGGUCC